GUGCUUAGAAGUGAGAAUGCCGGUAUGAGUAGCGAAAGACGGGUGAGAAUCCCGUCCACCGAAUGCCUAAGGUUUCCUGAGGAAGGCUCGUCCGCUCAGGGUUAGUCAGGACCUAAGCCGAGGCCGAAAGGCGUAGGCGAUGGACAACAGGUUGAUAUUCCUGUACCACCUCUUUAUCGUUUGAGCAAUGGAGGGACGCAGAAGGAUAGAAGAAGCGUGCGAUUGGUUG
Molecule: ribosomal RNA, 229 nt
Filed under: Bacillus sp. SN10
Lineage: Bacteria; Bacillati; Bacillota; Bacilli; Caryophanales; Bacillaceae
Description: partial 23S ribosomal RNA
Rfam family: Bacterial large subunit ribosomal RNA
Source: RNAcentral